Molecule: non-coding RNA, 86 nt
Filed under: Candidatus Parepulonipiscium sp. PG-Nun2H_MBin03
Lineage: Bacteria; Bacillati; Bacillota; Clostridia; Lachnospirales; Lachnospiraceae
Also listed under: 1 other name
Description: Epulopiscium sp. Nuni2H_MBin003 Glycine riboswitch aptamer
Rfam family: Glycine riboswitch aptamer
About the family: This family represents the bacterial glycine riboswitch. Glycine riboswitches usually consist of two metabolite-binding aptamers domains with similar structures in tandem.
Source: Rfam by way of RNAcentral
AUGAUAUCUGCUGGAAAAAGCAUAUGCUUACCGAAGGUGUAACUCUCUCAGGUGGUCAAAAUUUGACUAAAGACAGUAGAUUGAUG